Molecule: long non-coding RNA, 487 nt
Organism: Heteronotia binoei (common prickly gecko)
Lineage: Eukaryota; Metazoa; Chordata; Lepidosauria; Squamata; Gekkonidae
Exons: 2
Source: RefSeq, a predicted model, not a curated record
GAAACCAAACAGGUGUGUCAUAUAAAAUGGAGGCAUGUGAGCUAAUGUUUGAGAGUUUCUCCCUUCCGAAUGCUGUGUGGAAACUGUCAGCUUGAAGCUGGUGGGAGACGCCUCUCCGAGGAAGGCUGUCGGAAACAGUUGCAAAGGUGCUUCACUGUCAGAGGCUCUCUCUGUCCCCACUUUUUCGAACUAUUUAAGUGGGAUGAAGCUUUAAAUGUCCAAUAUUUAUAAAGGAAGGAAGAUGGAAAGCUUUUUCUAUACAGCACUUUUCUAAGCAUUGGCACUUUAAUUCGGCCACGGGAGCAGCAGUAUUGUCCUUAGCGUUUGAAGUCAGAAAUCGACACGCAUGCUGUGAAGAGACUUUAAAAAUUUUAUAUUUGAUCUCACAUCAAUGGAGAAUUGACUUCGGGAUUUUCUACAUUUAGUAUGUUUGUUUAUUAUGAAUUAUUGUUGAAUAUGAGUAUAAAUCAAUUAUUCUUUCUUUAAA